GGGUUGUGAGGUUAAGCGACUAAGCGUACACGGUGGAUGCCCUGGCAGUCAGAGGCGAUGAAGGGCGUGCUAAUCUGCGAUAAGCGCCGGUAAGGUGAUAUGAACCGUUAUAACCGGCGAUACCCGAAUGGGGAAACCCAGUGUGACUCGUCACACUAUCAUUAACUGAAUCCAUAGGUUAAUGAGGCGAACCGGGGGAACUGAAACAUCUAAGUACCCCGAGGAAAAGAAAUCAACCGAGAUUCCCCCAGUAGCGGCGAGCGAACGGGGAGGAGCCCAGAGCCUGAAUCAGCAUGUGUGUUAGUGGAAGCGUCUGGAAAGGCGCGCGAUACAGGGUGACAGCCCCGUACACAAAAGCGCAUGUGCUGUGAGCUCGAUGAGUAGGGCGGGACACGUGGUAUCCUGUCUGAAUAUGGGGGGACCAUCCUCCAAGGCUAAAUACUCCUGACUGACCGAUAGUGAACCAGUACCGUGAGGGAAAGGCGAAAAGAACCCCGGCGAGGGGAGUGAAAAAGAACCUGAAACCGUGUACGUACAAGCAGUGGGAGCACAGGUUUACCUGUGUGACUGCGUACCUUUUGUAUAAUGGGUCAGCGACUUAUAUUCUGUAGCAAGGUUAACCGUAUAGGGGAGCCGUAGGGAAACCGAGUCUUAACCGGGCGUUAAGUUGCAGGGUAUAGACCCGAAACCCGGUGAUCUAGCCAUGGGCAGGUUGAAGGUUGGGUAACACUAACUGGAGGACCGAACCGACUAAUGUUGAAAAAUUAGCGGAUGACCUGUGGCUGGGGGUGAAAGGCCAAUCAAACCGGGAGAUAGCUGGUUCUCCCCGAAAGCUAUUUAGGUAGCGCCUCGUGAAUUCAUCUCCGGGGGUAGAGCACUGUUUCGGCUAGGGGGCCAUCCCGGCUUACCAACCCGAUGCAAACUGCGAAUACCGGAGAAUGUUAUCACGGGAGACACACGGCGGGUGCUAACGUCCGUCGUGAAGAGGGAAACAACCCAGACCGCCAGCUAAGGUCCCAAAGUCAUGGUUAAGUGGGAAACGAUGUGGGAAGGCCCAGACAGCCAGGAUGUUGGCUUAGAAGCAGCCAUCAUUUAAAGAAAGCGUAAUAGCUCACUGGUCGAGUCGGCCUGCGCGGAAGAUGUAACGGGGCUAAACCAUGCACCGAAGCUGCGGCAGCGACACUGUGUGUUGUUGGGUAGGGGAGCGUUCUGUAAGCCUGUGAAGGUGGCCUGUGAGGGUUGCUGGAGGUAUCAGAAGUGCGAAUGCUGACAUAAGUAACGAUAAAGCGGGUGAAAAGCCCGCUCGCCGGAAGACCAAGGGUUCCUGUCCAACGUUAAUCGGGGCAGGGUGAGUCGACCCCUAAGGCGAGGCCGAAAGGCGUAGUCGAUGGGAAACGGGUUAAUAUUCCCGUACUUGGUGUUACUGCGAAGGGGGGACGGAGAAGGCUAUGUUGGCCGGGCGACGGUUGUCCCGGUUUAAGCGUGUAGGUGUGUGUUCCAGGUAAAUCCGGUUCACUUUAACACUGAGGCGUGACGACGAGGCACUACGGUGCUGAAGCAACAAAUGCCCUGCUUCCAGGAAAAGCCUCUAAGCAUCAGGUAACAUCAAAUCGUACCCCAAACCGACACAGGUGGUCAGGUAGAGAAUACCAAGGCGCUUGAGAGAACUCGGGUGAAGGAACUAGGCAAAAUGGUGCCGUAACUUCGGGAGAAGGCACGCUGACACGUAGGUGAAGUGAUUUACUCAUGGAGCUGAAGUCAGUCGAAGAUACCAGCUGGCUGCAACUGUUUAUUAAAAACACAGCACUGUGCAAACACGAAAGUGGACGUAUACGGUGUGACGCCUGCCCGGUGCCGGAAGGUUAAUUGAUGGGGUCAGCGCAAGCGAAGCUCCUGAUCGAAGCCCCGGUAAACGGCGGCCGUAACUAUAACGGUCCUAAGGUAGCGAAAUUCCUUGUCGGGUAAGUUCCGACCUGCACGAAUGGCGUAAUGAUGGCCAGGCUGUCUCCACCCGAGACUCAGUGAAAUUGAACUCGCUGUGAAGAUGCAGUGUACCCGCGGCAAGACGGAAAGACCCCGUGAACCUUUACUAUAGCUUGACACUGAACAUUGAGCCUUGAUGUGUAGGAUAGGUGGGAGGCUUUGAAGUGUGGACGCCAGUCUGCAUGGAGCCGACCUUGAAAUACCACCCUUUAAUGUUUGAUGUUCUAACGUGGACCCGUAAUCCGGGUUGCGGACAGUGUCUGGUGGGUAGUUUGACUGGGGCGGUCUCCUCCUAAAGAGUAACGGAGGAGCACGAAGGUUGGCUAAUCCUGGUCGGACAUCAGGAGGUUAGUGCAAUGGCAUAAGCCAGCUUGACUGCGAGCGUGACGGCGCGAGCAGGUGCGAAAGCAGGUCAUAGUGAUCCGGUGGUUCUGAAUGGAAGGGCCAUCGCUCAACGGAUAAAAGGUACUCCGGGGAUAACAGGCUGAUACCGCCCAAGAGUUCAUAUCGACGGCGGUGUUUGGCACCUCGAUGUCGGCUCAUCACAUCCUGGGGCUGAAGUAGGUCCCAAGGGUAUGGCUGUUCGCCAUUUAAAGUGGUACGCGAGCUGGGUUUAGAACGUCGUGAGACAGUUCGGUCCCUAUCUGCCGUGGGCGCUGGAGAACUGAGGGGGGCUGCUCCUAGUACGAGAGGACCGGAGUGGACGCAUCACUGGUGUUCGGGUUGUCAUGCCAAUGGCACUGCCCGGUAGCUAAAUGCGGAAGAGAUAAGUGCUGAAAGCAUCUAAGCACGAAACUUGCCCCGAGAUGAGUUCUCCCUGAGACUUAGAGUCUCCUGAAGGAACGUUGAAGACGACGACGUUGAUAGGCCGGGUGUGUAAGCGCAGCGAUGCGUUGAGCUAACCGGUACUAAUGAACCGUGAGGCUUAACCUUACAACGCCGAAG
Molecule: ribosomal RNA, 2928 nt
Filed under: Salmonella enterica
Lineage: Bacteria; Pseudomonadati; Pseudomonadota; Gammaproteobacteria; Enterobacterales; Enterobacteriaceae
Also listed under: 4 other names
Description: 23S ribosomal RNA
Rfam family: Bacterial large subunit ribosomal RNA
Source: RNAcentral